Long non-coding RNA from Megalobrama amblycephala (Wuchang bream), 568 nucleotides. RefSeq lists it as uncharacterized. The record is from RefSeq and is a predicted model, not a curated record. Lineage: Eukaryota; Metazoa; Chordata; Actinopteri; Cypriniformes; Xenocyprididae. The transcript has 4 exons.
GGAGAUAAAUUCGGCCUCGUGCCAUAGUAACACCCUUUCUGCUGGCGACCCUCAAUGGAGUAACAGUGUGGUCGUGUAGUCAUCGAAAUAUAGGUUUUGAGUUCAGUUUUAGUUGUAUAAAUUAUACCUAUACACCAUUUUUGUGUUUUUGUAUCGAGUUUUUAAGAUAUAUUUAUUUUUUUACAUUUUAUAUGAAAAGGAAGCGGAUAUAUUAGCAAGUAUACAUAUCUACAGGUCAAAAUGAUGCGUUUUCAUAAUCGAAAUCUGGACCUGGCUUUAUGGGAAUGGAACCUCAACUUUUGAAAGACGCAAGCAGGGAGAUGUUCAGUAAGGCAUUUACUCCAGGUGACCUGGCUUUCUACAACGGAGUUGAUUUGAGGUUCACUUUCCCCCUCCACAUUUAUAUUCUCUUUAUAUAGGCCUGCUAGAGACCGUAGAUUAGAAUAUAACUGUGACUUGUAGACUUGUCCAUUUUGAGUUUUGAUGUCUUGUUUAAAAGUUGAGUGCAAUAUACUGUCAGUGAUGUAAUGACUUGAAACCACCACAAUAAAUUCUUAUUUAUAUCUGA